CCCUCCCUGAUCGUCAUCUUUGGGCCAGGCCUCUGCUGAGCCUUGGGGCCAGUGGGGACUCAGAUGCUAUUUGACCUCAGAGCAGUCUGGGCCAGCAGGCAGGUGUCAGCCACAUUGUGGUUAAGUGCACAGGCCUUAGGGUUGGAUAGGCCUCAGUCUCUAGACCUUACCAAUUACCAGCUGGCUGCCUUUUGAUAACCCUCAGCUCCAGGGUGGCUGGGAGGAUUGGAGAUCGUGCUUGGCACAUAGUAAGUGCUCGUCUGUUGAUGAUUGUUAGCUUUCAUGCAAUUAGGUCCUGGACGAAACACAUGGACAAAUAAGACACAGUUUCAGUUUUGUUCAUUUGCUCACUGAAAAUUCACCUGUGCCGAUGGCUCUGUGCUUGGUGUUGGGCAUAAUAAUAAUUCUUAUUGUAGGUCAUAUUUAUUGAGCUCUUACUCCAUGCUCAGCACUGUUCCAGGCACUUAUUUAUAUAUCACAAAUCACAGCUGUAUGAGCUAUGUACUACGACUGCGCUAUUUCAUCGGGGAGGAAACUCGGGUGAGAGGUUAGGCAGCUGGCCUGAGCUCCCAUAGCCAGAAGGUGACCAUGCUGGGAUUCACACCCAGGUCCGAGGCCCUCCUUAACUACACUAGUCAGAGACAAGCAUGUCUUUGCUACUCCGGAGUCAUGGUCUAGUGCAGUGGUCGGCAAACUCAUUAGUCAACAGAGCCAAAUAUCAACAGUACAACGAUUGGAAUUUCUUUUGAGAGCCAACUUUUUUAAACUUAAACUAUAUAGGUAGGUACACUGUUAUUAACUUAAUUAGGGUACUCCUAAGGCUUGGGAAGAGCCACACUCAAGGAGCCAAAGAGCCGCAUGUGGCUCGCAAGCCACAGUUUGCCAACCACAGGUCUAGUGGGUGGUGAUGGUGGUCCUGUGGGGUGCAGGGUCUUAGGGGAGGAUCCAGGGCAGCUUGCCCAAAUGCGUUCCUUGAGUCGUCAUGGUCAUUGGGUGGCACCCAGAGAAAGGGGGUCCUGGUCCGGGAGCCCCCUGCUGGCUGAGGCUGGUGUUCAGGCAGACAUGUCCUCUCACCCAGGGCCCCAGGAAGGUGAGGGACGCUGAGGAGGUGGAAUCUCGAGCUGUCCUGACCUUGUUCCUUGGACAGACCCAAGUAUCCCAGCCUCCUCCCAGGGCUGUCUGCCUUCUAGUCUCUUCUUCCUUCUCGGGUUCCUCCUCCCCUGGCCUAGCCUAUAGUUCCUAGACCUCUCUCUCUCUCUCUCUCUCUCUCUCUGACUCCUCUCCUGGUGUCUCCCUGUGCCCCGCAGAGGGAGGCAUAUUUUGCGCGGUUGCGCCGGGCUCACCAGAACCGCACGUCCCUCUCAGAGGAGCAGUUGCGGGUAGCUGUGACAACUGGGAGGAUCCCAGGACCCCCAGAGGGCAGGGGCCGGGCGCAGCAGCUCUCACAGGUGGACGAGGCCCAGAGGAGGAUGGACGCUGAGAUCUGGCAGCUCCUUUCCAGCUUUGCUGCCCAACCUCACCCCCCUGCCCCCGGGCUCCUGCCCCGUCCCCAGCCUGCAGCUGCUCUGCGAGCAGUUCCGUCCUCCUUCUCCUCUUCCUCCUCUUCCUCCUCCUCCUCCUCCGCCUCCUCUGCUCCUCUGUCUUCCAUAGGCUCGCAGUUCUCUCUCUCCUACGAAAGCUUCUCUCUACUUCCGGAAAGCCUCUAUUAUUGGCAGCUGCCCCGAGCCUUCCUGGGGAACAAGGUAACAAGGAGUUGGGAGGGUUCAGGGUGUCAUCGAAUCCUGAAAUGUCAGAAGGCCCUUUGUCAAAGCCCUUCAUGAUCAAAUGGGUAGACCAAGGCCCAGAGAGGGCAAGGGACUCGUCUGGCGUUCCACGUUUAGGUCAGAGUAGCUGAGACUACACCCAGCUCAGCACUUGCUCUUCAGUGGCCACAGGCCCCUGGCAGAGGGGCUGUCUUGCACAGCGGUCCUCAACCUGUGGGUCAUGACCCCUUUGGGGGUCGAACGACCCUUUCACAGGGGUCGCCUAAGACCAUCGGAAAACACAUAUAUAAUUACAUAUUGUUUUUGUGGUUAAUCACUAUGCUUUAAUUAUGCUCAAUUUGUAACGGUGAAAAUACAUCCUGUAUAUCAGAUAUUUACAUGACGAUUCAUAACAGUAGCAAAAUUACAGUUAUGAAGUAGCAACGAAAAUAAUUUUAUGGUCGGGGUCACCACAACAUGAGGAACUGUAUUAAAGGGUCGCGGCAUUAGGAAGGUUGAGAACCACUGCCUUAGAGGGAGCCUCAGGAAGUAGACACCCCUCCUUUAGGCUCCAUUUACCCUGCGUCACUGAACUAGCUCUUGGCACUACAUUCGUUCAUUCAAGAAGCAUUGAUUAAGCACUCACUGUGCGCUGUAUUGUAGAUGAGUGAAGACCCUGGCCUCGCAGCGCGCACUGUCAGUCUGAUUAUCCUGCCUGUUAUCAGCACCAGCAGCACUGUUAUUAGCAUUAGUGUUAUCUUGGCAUUACCUCCAUCUUAUUCCGAAAUGACUUAGAGUCUUCUAACGCAGAGGUCGCCAACCUUUCGGACCUCACAGACCACCAGUGGUCCACGGACCACCGGCUGGCGACCGCUGUUCUAAAGAAUACACAUAAUUUGUAAUAAAAUAACACACAGAGCAGCAGACAAGAAAGUCUGGCCCAGGAGAAUGCGGAUGGGGAAGCUCUGCUGAAGCCACAGGUGGAGCUGGACAUGACAGGGCUGGCAGCCCUGGGGCUGGGUGUCGCAGGCGCUGUGCUGAGUGCAGUAUUUUACGUGACCUGUGGCAUCCAAAGCAAACAGAAAACUAGUUGUUUCGUGGUUAUCUGGUGAUGGCCCUAAACUUCUUACCUUACCCUGAGCUUGUGGAGAACAUCUCGGGGCCCGUGUAGCCCAGUUCUGGCAUGUCGUCCAUAGACAUUUAAUAAAUGCUCACAGCUGAAUGAACAAACAAAUGAACAAAUGGGCUAGGCUUGAUGCACUGUGGGAUUGGUUUGAACAUCUGUCCUGGUGGCAAAGGACAGAAAGGGAAGUCCUGUGGGGCGGAGCUGAGGCUCUGGCUGCCCACAUGAAAGCCUUCGGUGGCAGACCUAAGGGCUGUUUCAUUGUGAGCCAUAGAAAACCUAAGUCCAGCUGUCUUGUCGGCAACAAAGAAAGGAAUCUAUUGGCUCAGGUAACUCCAGAGUCCAAGGGUGUCUGGUAUCAGGCAUGGCUGGAUCCAGGGGUUCAUUAGGACUUUAUCUCAGUUGGUGUCCUCCUCUGGCUUCCAGAAUGGCUGGUAAAGGACGUUUCUCUGUUCCAGUAGAAAGAGCAGAUGUGCCAGGUUGACGUGUCCACAUCUGAUGGAGUGGAGAGGGGGAGUGAUGGAAUGUGCAGAUUGGCUGGGCCUGGCUCAUGUCUUUCUUCAAACUACAUGGCCUGCAUAUAGGACAUAGUUUCUUUUAAAGGAAACCAAGGCUGCAGUUUGCCAAAAGCGGGGAAAUGGAUUCUGAGCAAACAAAACCCACCUGCCCAGGAGACGAGACCUCUGAGGAGCCACCCUCAGCCCCAUCCCCCUGGCUAAGAACUUGGAACCUUUUGCAGCCUCCCCUGGGUGGUCACUGUCCUUACUCCUCUCUGCAUUGUGGGUCGUUCCUUCUGAUGGACAGGGACUUGGAGCAUGUUUGGUGUGAUUAUCGGGCACUUGGAAAUGGGGAGCCCCGGAAGCAGAAAAGAGGCUGCUCAGGGUCAUUGCCGCCGGCUCAGGCUGUGAAGGAACUGAGUGAUGGCCUGUCUCCUAGGCAGGCACAGGCCAGGCCUAGUGACCGGCCUCUGUUUGGGUGGUGGGGUGAGACAGCACAGGUACAAAAGCGCCUUGAGAGGUUUUGCCCCCUCACCUGGGGAGGGCAAUCAGGCUGUGACUGCAGGGCUUGC
Molecule: long non-coding RNA, 3934 nt
Organism: Myotis daubentonii (Daubenton's bat)
Lineage: Eukaryota; Metazoa; Chordata; Mammalia; Chiroptera; Vespertilionidae
Source: RefSeq, a predicted model, not a curated record